CCCACGUUCGGAUUGCAGGCUGCAACCCGCCUGCAUGAAGUUGGAAUCGCUAGUAAUCGCGGAUCAGCAUGCCGCGGUGAAUACGUUCCCGGGCCUUGUACACACCGCCCGUCAAGCCAUGGAAGCCGGGGGUGCCUGAAGUGCGCUGCCGCAAGGAGCGCCCUAGGGUAAAACCGGUGACUGGGGCUAAGUCGUAACAAGGUAAC
Molecule: ribosomal RNA, 206 nt
Filed under: uncultured bacterium
Lineage: Bacteria
Description: partial 16S ribosomal RNA
Rfam family: Bacterial small subunit ribosomal RNA
Source: RNAcentral